CGCGGGAAAUUGGUAACUCGUUAGGCUCAUAAUCCGAAUGUUGUGGGUUUGGAUCAUCCAACUUCCGCAA
This 70-nucleotide transfer RNA is filed under the name Fossombronia cristula. Its description in RNAcentral is "tRNA-Met". Lineage: Eukaryota; Viridiplantae; Streptophyta; Jungermanniopsida; Fossombroniales; Fossombroniaceae. The record is from RNAcentral.